UGAAGAAUUGUGAAGGGGAUGAAGCGUUAUUUAUAAGCAGAAAUUUAGUGUAUGGAGUGAUAGAUACCGAACUUAAUUGAGAGAGAGUUGUUUGAGGUGUAAAUGUGGGUGUUAGUUGCAUGAAGCUUUUACAUUUAGGGUGCGUUCUCUUUGGUUGUAAAUUUAUCAUGAGAAAAUGAGGGACAAACAAAAUUUUAUCCUUUAAAUCCUUCCUUUCUUUUCUCUCAUUUCCUAUUUGACCCUUACUCGUUCCUCAUUUUCACUACAAAUGAGGGAUAAUAUUAUCCCUCCAAAAAUGAUGUGAUAAUAUUAUCCCCCAUUUGUAGUGAAAAACUGUCUAUAACAUUUUUUAAUAAAUGUACAAUGAAACAUAUGUGUGGGGUCAUGGUGAUCGUGCUCGUUUGAUUUCUCUGCGAUGGUAUCCCUUCUCCAUUGGUGUCGAGCUUGUUUGAUGAUCAGCUGAACUGUCAUUGUGGAGCUGGUGAUGGGCGUUUUGGCCCUCUUUACUUAUUUUAUUUCGUCACUUGUUGGUCGCACAAGUUUACGUUUCUUUUUUGUUUCUUUGCGGUGCGGGGGGUCCGGGAUUGCUUAGGGGCAAUGGUUAGGCCGGAGUUCCUGAAGUUCUCCUCCCCCCCUCCCACGUUGCCGGUUUGGUUGCUUUGCUUAUGUUUUUUGUGGUUUGUAGACGAGUACUCUUUUUCCUUGUUAUGACUUUUCCCAUGAGGUUUUCCAUAACAAAGUUUUAAUGAGGCUCGGCCCUUAGUAUGCUUUGUUGUGCAUUCAGGGGUUCUUUCUAGGUCUUUUUUUCUUUUUUUUUCCUCUAUAAAAUCGUAUUUUAACAAUGAAACAUAUGUGUUCUAAGUAACGUGCAUUGGUUUUGAUUAUGC
RNAcentral lists this long non-coding RNA (887 nucleotides) under Salvia miltiorrhiza (redroot sage). RNAcentral's name for it is "long non-coding RNA (SMIL_LNC010057)". The record is from RNAcentral. Lineage: Eukaryota; Viridiplantae; Streptophyta; Magnoliopsida; Lamiales; Lamiaceae.